This is a long non-coding RNA of Carassius carassius (crucian carp), 348 nucleotides long. RefSeq lists it as uncharacterized. The record is from RefSeq and is a predicted model, not a curated record. The transcript is spliced from 2 exons. Lineage: Eukaryota; Metazoa; Chordata; Actinopteri; Cypriniformes; Cyprinidae.
ACACAUUGUCCGUUAUAAAAGUUCGUUUUACAGUAAAGCACAACAUAAACUUAAUACAAACUAAAUAAAUCUUGCAAGAUAUGUUGAUGAAACAAUAGUAAAAGGAAACAAUUUGAGCAAGGGAUUCACAGGCCUUGCGCUCAAAAAUCAAAUAAAUCCAGAGAUUUCAAACAAUAAAAAGUACAGAUGAAUCACAUACAUACUACACUUCAAUAUACAGCAUAUUUAACCUGAAGGAAAAAAACUAAAAAUAAACAUAGGUGACACUAAUAACAGUCUUUGGAUAUGAAAGCGUCCCUUUACAUAUUACAUUGGAAAGAUGACUUUGAUUAAACUCUGAUUCAAAAU